GUCCGAUUAGCUCAGUUGGUAGAGCAACUGACUCUUAAUCAGUGGGCCCAGGGUUCGAGUCCCUGAUCGGACACCA
RNAcentral lists this transfer RNA (76 nucleotides) under Tissierellia bacterium. RNAcentral's name for it is "tRNA-Lys". It matches the Rfam family "tRNA". Rfam says of the family: Transfer RNA (tRNA) molecules are approximately 80 nucleotides in length. Their secondary structure includes four short double-helical elements and three loops (D, anti-codon, and T loops). Lineage: Bacteria; Bacillati; Bacillota; Tissierellia. The record is from RNAcentral.